GUAGUGCUCCUCAGUGUGGGCGGGGUCACAGAAGAAGCGAGAGCUGCGUUUGGCGGAUCGAGCCGUGAAGGGGACGGUCUUCAAAGCUGCAGAUCUAAACUCUGCAGCUUGAAUCCGUACACAGCUCCUCUCUUACUGCUGUUCAUGUAGUUCCCCAGAGCCAAGAUGAUCUGCAACAUCAUCAUCAUCAUCAGGAUGGCCUCGUCAUCGAUGUCGUUGAAGACGGUCCCGUUGAUCUGACUCGGCUUCAGGGCAACCCAGUUCAACACCGGCAUCCUGAACUUAGUCUGGAUCGGCUUCUUGAUCUUCACGGCUGCACAGCAGCAACAGAGAUUGAACAUGGAGGGAUGCAGCGGAAUGGAGGAGGAGCUAAAGGAAGGAUGGUGAUGAUGAUGGAGUAAUGUGAAGAUGUUUCAAUGUAAAGUGUAAGUAAACGUACAGAAUAACUUGAGAGGACCCUCUGUCAGCAAGGUGAGAGAAAAAACAACACAUCAGUAUCAUGAAACUCUGAUUAUAUUACACAUUUACAAUGACAACUGAGAAUCCUGGUUUCUGAUUGGCUGGGAGGUUUGGAUUCACCUUUAAUAACACAGUGACCUCUGAAGACACUACAGGUGAGUGGGGUAAAGAUUUUAACUGAUAUCACCAUAAAACUUCAUCAGUUUCCAUAGCAGAAAUCUGAACAUUGGAUAAAGUCAGGUUAAAAAUUCUUGUUUCUCAUAUUAAAGUUAAUGUCUCAACAAAGUGAAUUUUGGAUAUCUCUUUAUAUCACUCCAUAAAUCAGAAAAUACUGCUAAAAGCCAUAAAAAAUCUAUUUUUGCCAGGUUUUUAUAGAAUAAAAAGUUCUCUAAAUCAGGAUGUGAAUGCUACAUAAAUAAACCCCUCUGUAAAAACUUUUAGAACACAGACAGGAAUAAAACUGGAAAAUUUGAUGAAAGUAAGUUCUACUGAAGUUGAGAUUUUUGGCUCAGAGUUUUGAAAAAACAACCUUUCUAAACAUUUUUAGACCAAAAAAUGAGACAAUAUGGUAAAAUUUUUAAUAGAUAUCACCAUGAAACUUCCCCAGUUGAGUACUUACAGUAGUCAAUUAUUUUUUCUGAAACAAGUUUUCUGAAAUGUUAUGUUUAAAUAUGCCAGUGAUGCAUAAUCUAGUUAAAUAUGGGCUAUUUGCUUGUUAAAUUUCCAGAAUGUAAAUCUGAACGUUGGAUAAAGUCAGGUUCAAUAUUCUUGUUUCACUUUGUUGAGAUAUGAGCGUAAAAUUUUUAACAAAAGGAAUUGUGGAUAUCUCUUUUAAUCAGUCCAUGGAUCAUAAAAUACUGUACUUGCCAUGUUUUUAGGAAAGAAAGUUCUAUAAAUCAGGCUGUGAAUGAUACAUAAACAAACCCCUCUGCAAAAAUCUGUAGAAUAUACACAGGAAUAAAAUCGGAAGAUUUGGUAAAUGUAAGUGCUACUGAAGUUGAGAUUUUUGGUUUUGAAAAUGUAUAUGUAUUGAAUAACACUUUUUAGACCAAAAAUGAUAGGGUCAAAAUUUAAACUAACAGAUAUCACCAUGAAACUUUCCUGUUGUUUACUGACAUUUAGACAAUUAUUUUUUGUGAUACAUGUUUUCUGAAAUUUUAUGUUUAAAGAUUGUCAACGGCCAUAAAAAAAAUGAAAAAUUUUAUGUUUUUAGGAAUAAAAAGUUCUAUAAAUCAAGCUGUGAAUGAUACAUAAACAAACCCCUCUGUUUACACCCCCGCCCCCCGAAAACCCUCAGAAAAUAGAUAUGAAUAAAAGUGGAAAAUUUGAUGUAUAUAAUAAUAAUUCCAACAUUUUUAGAUGAGAUAAAAAAUAAUAGAGUAAACAUUUCAACUGGCAGAUAUCACCAUGAAACUUCCCCAGUUCUCAAGCAAUCAUUUUUUGUAAUACAAGUUUUACAUUUUAUGUUUAAAUAUGCAUUUUUUGUGUAGAAAAUCGGAGCUAAAAUAAACCUAAAUAUGUUUUUGGAUGUUUUCUUCCACGUAGUCUAAAAGAAGAAAUGCUAUGGAGGCACACUACCCCAAAAUCUGAAAAUCGACCAGUGCAUGACAAACAUUUUUAUCUGGAGUGUCUCGCUCGUUAGUUCAGAUUCACCAAAGUCACACAAUAACACAAAUGAACUAAGUGAUGAAGGCAGCGGUAGACCGACAGCUCCCGUGUUUUGUCAGUGAAGUCUGGCUUUAAAGGGAGCUGAGAUUAUCUUUCAUUUUCCAUUCAGUGUUUUAUCGGAAAGCGGCGUCUGUGAAGUUCUGAGCGCUCAUCUUGAUAAAUCAGACUUGGAUCAAACUGCAGGAGUUGUGUAUGAAUGUUCCCCCUUUUUUGGAUUCUUCAUUCACCAUGGAGGUGUGAGAAAUAAACUUCGCAUAAAUUCAACAUAACGUGGUGAGUAACUGAUAUACAAAUACAUUUAGGGAGAUGAAGUAUUCCGUUAUGUCACAUUUUAAACGCUGGACUUCAAAUGGAACAUUGAAUAUUUUCCUCACCGCCUGUGAACACAUCAU
Long non-coding RNA from Epinephelus fuscoguttatus (brown-marbled grouper), 2519 nucleotides. RefSeq lists it as uncharacterized. NCBI's taxonomy places the organism in Eukaryota, Metazoa, Chordata, Actinopteri, Perciformes, Serranidae. The record is from RefSeq and is a predicted model, not a curated record. The transcript is spliced from 4 exons.